Molecule: non-coding RNA, 592 nt
Organism: Misgurnus anguillicaudatus (oriental weatherfish)
Lineage: Eukaryota; Metazoa; Chordata; Actinopteri; Cypriniformes; Cobitidae
Source: RefSeq, a predicted model, not a curated record
UCUUAUGAAAAAUGGUUCUUCAAAGGUUCUGAAAUGAUGGUAAAGGUUCUAUAUAGAACCAUAGCUUACUGAAGAACCCUUUUUUGCUGAAAUGGUUCUUUGUCUUGGCAAAAGGGUUCUUUUUUUCCCUCCUGUUUUGAUUUUAAAUUUAGUCAGUUAUUUUCAAGCUGCCUCUUGAUUAUUUUCACCUGUAAAAGCCCUGAAUCAUCAGUCCUGCUGAACUGCCUGCAGACUAACAUCACAAACAGGUAAGAGAGGAAAAUAAUCAUCAUUUACUGUUAAAACAUUUUGAAAAUUGAAGUUUUGUGUGUUCUUAUUGUAAUUUAUUUAUUUUAUUACAGGUAAGCUUUAUACUGAAAGCUUCAUUCCCUUUAAAGCAGAGUUUUUAUAUUUGAGGUAAUCUUGCUGGGAGUGAAGGCAGUGCGUAUGAUCGCUUGAUAUGAGACACACAUACUGUAUUUAAAGGUCAACUUUAUACGUAAGCUUCAUUCCAUUUAUAACAGGUAAGCUUCAUAUUGUUUUAAAUGAUAUAUUUAGGGGACUCUACUUUAACAAUGACUUAGGAUAAUGAUUUGUUAAAGUGUUAUAAAGC